Molecule: non-coding RNA, 643 nt
Organism: Pogona vitticeps (central bearded dragon)
Lineage: Eukaryota; Metazoa; Chordata; Lepidosauria; Squamata; Agamidae
Source: RefSeq, a predicted model, not a curated record
UAAGUUCUUACACAGGAGCUGAGGGUGGUUGAGUCUAAGAGGGAGUCAGGCAGACAGGGCUGUCUCCAGAGGUUCCUGAGGUUGAGAAAAAAUAUAUAUACUUCAGGGGCUAAAGAAGCUUUAGGAAGUGUUAAUAAGAGCAGAUAGCCCACUCUAGCAAGGACUGGCUUUUUCUGUGCAGUUCUUUGAUUGAAAACCUUUGCAGUUGCCCUUAUCAAUGAGUGACAAGAAGUCUUUGGAUUACCAUCAACCUCUGCAUGGCUAGAAGCAUCUCCUUGCUAGAGGAAUAUACUGUAUACUGAAGAAUAAUUCCAGCAAAACAACUAUAAACCAAGUCAUGGCAAGGCAAGAGUGACCAACCAGAAAACCACGUCAUCCUUUAUACCGCUCCCAGAAAGGACACCGUAGCCCUAAAUAAAGACACUCAAGAAGAUCAACAUUACAGCCUCCAUUGAAGUGAGUGCCAGCCAAAUGUUUGUGAGAACCAAUUGAAGUUUGAUAAUUACAAAUGAAGUUUGGUUUUGCCCAGCUCAAUGUCUUCCUGGGCCAUCUUUCAAUUACACACAGAAAUCCUCACGUCUCUGGAGACCCAACAUGACUACAGAGUCUAUUCAUGUGUGUGAAGGAUUAAAAGCAUGGGUCU